UAUUGAAAGUUUCUUCGAGUCUCUUGUUCCAAGAGGUUCUACCUAUGAACAAAAGACUGUUAGGGUAAAGUUGGAAGCAGCUUUGCCUCCCAGUUUGGAAAGAAGGGAACGUAGUUGAAAC
Molecule: non-coding RNA, 121 nt
Filed under: Proteiniborus sp. DW1
Lineage: Bacteria; Bacillati; Bacillota; Clostridia; Eubacteriales
Also listed under: 1 other name
Description: Molybdenum/Tungsten riboswitch aptamer (Moco RNA motif)
Rfam family: Molybdenum/Tungsten riboswitch aptamer (Moco RNA motif)
Source: Rfam by way of RNAcentral